Molecule: long non-coding RNA, 583 nt
Organism: Symsagittifera roscoffensis
Lineage: Eukaryota; Metazoa; Xenacoelomorpha; Acoela; Convolutidae
Exons: 3
Source: RefSeq, a predicted model, not a curated record
AUUGCGGGCUACUACACCGAUAAACAGAUAAGUGAUCGACAGCCAUCAGAGAGUGAUGAAAGCGUGUUCAGGGAGAGGGUGGCCAUCCAUUAUCGCAAAAUUAACUUCUUCUCCUUCGACUCCGAAGAUCGAAACGGUUGCUGCUCGUAUCAGGUCAACUCGUACCUUGCUAAUGGACAAGCAGUUGGACUUUCACCAAUACAGUAUGAAAUGAAGCUUUGUGACCUUGAUAAGAGAAGACGGACGAUGGAUCUAGUUUAUAUAAAAGCUCGCUGGGAUCCCCAGUUUUGUAUGAACGUUGUCAGUCAAGUGGGAUAUGGGGAGGGGGAGCUGCGAAUAGUCGGUGGGCGGGGAAGAAGACAUCGGUUCAUGGUUCCCCCCCUAGGUGGGAGCAAUUUCGAACAAGUUUACAUCUUCAAUGGGCCCAGGGUUCACAUCAUGAUGAAUAUUGACUGGUUUGCAACAUUUGUGGUUUGUGAGGAAAAGCCAGAGCUAUGCCCGGAACUGCAACUGAAUAAUACGAGAAGAAAUUCGGCUUGAGAAGAGGCAACUUACACUCAUUUACACUCAUUCUGAAAGUAAC